Molecule: ribosomal RNA, 265 nt
Filed under: uncultured prokaryote
Description: partial 16S ribosomal RNA
Rfam family: Bacterial small subunit ribosomal RNA
Source: RNAcentral
UACGUAGGGUGCGAGUGUUAAUCGGAAUUACUGGGCGUAAAGCGUGCGCAGGCGGUUUGCUAAGACAGGUGUGAAAUCCCCGGGCUUAACCUGGGAACUGCGCUUGUGACUGGCAGGCUAGAGUACGGUAGAGGGGGGUGGAAUUCCUGGUGUAGCAGUGAAAUGCGUAGAUAUCAGGAGGACCACCGAUGGCGAAGGCAGCCCCCUGGGCCUGUACUGACGCUCAUGCACGAAAGCGUGGGGAGCAAACAGGAUUAGAUACCCU